This is a non-coding RNA of Xyrichtys novacula (pearly razorfish), 96 nucleotides long. NCBI's taxonomy places the organism in Eukaryota, Metazoa, Chordata, Actinopteri, Labriformes, Labridae. The record is from the annotation of a GenBank genome assembly.
CCAUGGUGGUCAUCAUGAUGGUUGUCGUGAUGUGUAUCAUGAUGGUUGUCAUGAUGGUUAUCAUGAUGGUUGUCAUGGUGAUUGUCAUGAUGGUUA